CUACGGGGUGCUGCAGUGAGGAAUAUUGCGCAAUGGGGGAAACCCUGACGCAGCGACGCCGCGUGGAUGAUGAAGGCCUUCGGGUCGUAAAAUCCUGUCAGAAGGAAAGAAGUGUAUGGUAGCUAAUAUCUGCCAUACUUGACGGUACCUUCAAAGGAAGCACCGGCUAACUCCGUGCCAGCAGCCGCGGUAAUACGGAGGGUGCAAGCGUUGUUCGGAAUUACUGGGCGUAAAGCGCGCGUAGGCGGUUUUAUAAGUCAGAUGUGAAAGUCCACGGCUCAACCAUGGAAGUGCAUUUGAAACUGUAAGGCUUGAGUAUUGGAGGGGGUAGUGGAAUUCCCGGUGUAGAGGUGAAAUUCGUAGAUAUCGGGAGGAAUACCGGUGGCGAAGGCGACUAUCUGGCCAAAUACUGACGCUGAGGUGCGAAAGCGUGGGGAGCAAACAGGAUUAGAUACCCGCGUAGUC
This 465-nucleotide ribosomal RNA is filed under the name uncultured bacterium. RNAcentral's name for it is "partial 16S ribosomal RNA". It matches the Rfam family "Bacterial small subunit ribosomal RNA", at positions 339 to 795 of the family's 1533-position model. The record is from RNAcentral.